This is a ribosomal RNA of Mustela putorius furo (domestic ferret), 117 nucleotides long. The record is from Ensembl. Lineage: Eukaryota; Metazoa; Chordata; Mammalia; Carnivora; Mustelidae.
CUGUGUGGCCAUACCACCCUGAACGUGCCUGAUCUCGUCUGAUCUCGGAAACUAAGCAGGGCCUGGUUAGUACUUGGAUGGGAAACAGUGAGUCCUUCAAUGGAGUUGCUAUGCAAC